This 479-nucleotide long non-coding RNA is filed under the name Triticum aestivum (bread wheat). RNAcentral describes it as "long non-coding RNA (TAES_LNC019647)". The record is from RNAcentral. Lineage: Eukaryota; Viridiplantae; Streptophyta; Magnoliopsida; Poales; Poaceae.
UCUUGUUUUUUAAAAUUGUAAUGCUCUUCAAUUUCUAAUGUAAUCUUAUGCUUGACAAUUUAGGUGCCAGUGGUCUACUAGGAGCUCCAUGCACGGCUGGCUUAUUUUUGAGGCGUUUUUGUUCCCUGAGAUGAGAUGAGGUUGAGAAGUAGAGCGACGUGUAAAGCUUGCCUCCUUUUUGCUGUUGUCCCCCAUGCUAUACUGUAGGCUUGAAACCCCACAAUCAGGCACCCCUUUCUUCUGUUUCUAGCAUCUAGCAGCAGACUGUUUCUUGUUUCCCCCCCUUUGUACAAUUAUAAGUGGUAGACCCCCUUGUACAAUUAUAACUGGUAGAUUAGCUCAUGAAUUUCUUGGGUCUUGACCUGAUCUCAAAAUAAACCUGUUGAUGGUUUUAAUUAUAUAUGAUCGGUUACUUUCAGCUAUCUGGGUGUCAUUCUGCAGAACGGCUGAUGGAUUCCGGAUAUGAUAAUGAUCUGUCA